RNAcentral lists this transfer RNA (73 nucleotides) under Camelus bactrianus (Bactrian camel). It matches the Rfam family "tRNA". From Rfam's summary of the family: Transfer RNA (tRNA) molecules are approximately 80 nucleotides in length. Their secondary structure includes four short double-helical elements and three loops (D, anti-codon, and T loops). Further hydrogen bonds mediate the characteristic L-shaped molecular structure. tRNAs have two regions of fundamental functional importance: the anti-codon, which is responsible for specific mRNA codon recognition, and the 3' end, to which the tRNAs corresponding amino acid is attached (by aminoacyl-tRNA synthetases). tRNAs cope with the degeneracy of the genetic code in two manners: having more than one tRNA (with a specific anti-codon) for a particular amino acid; and 'wobble' base-pairing, i.e. permitting non-standard base-pairing at the 3rd anti-codon position. The record is from Rfam by way of RNAcentral. Lineage: Eukaryota; Metazoa; Chordata; Mammalia; Artiodactyla; Camelidae. RNAcentral also lists the same sequence under 1 other name.
GGAGGUACAGCUCAAGUGGUAGAGUGCAUGCUUAACAUGCACAAGGGCCUGGGUUCAAUCCCCAGUACCUCCU